UUUUUACCUGCCCAACAAUGUUCCAUCUACCAUCUAAAAGGUAAUAUAAGAAGAAGUUUUGAAACCCACUUUAGGAAAACCAUCUUCUUUAAAUCCUUCAAUUAUCUGAGGCCUCUAUAUGUCAAAACUAUUUUUCAGUUGCAGGGGAUUGGGCAAACUUGUUCUUUCUUAUACUUGGGUUCAAAGACCCAUUCUCCAGUUUCAUAUUUCCCAAACCAAAAUGCUUGACAUAAAGCCAAAUCAACUGCCAAGCACACUUUAUUUUGCAUAGGAGUAUGCAGCCUAGGGAACCUUGGUUGAAAAGCAGCAGUCUGCUAUGCAAAAUAUUGGAAAUCACUGACAGUGUAGCAUUCAUAUUAUCUGUCAAUGAGGGUAUAUUGGGAACGUGCUCUCGUGAAUAAUAAAAAGCAACAUAUUUUUAUUUGGCCUUAUAAAUUAGGUUGUGGUAAUGUAAACUUUGAUAUAUAGUCUUUUUAUUUUUCUCUUAUUAAUCUGCCAAAGAUGGGAACAGAUACAAGAAUUUUUCAAAUUGGCUUUUGUAAGACAAUUGAUGAUUGUAAUAGUGUUUAAUCUUCCAGAAAGCUUUAUAUGUUGUUCCACAAUAAAAUUGAUAUUUGUUUCAGCAAAGUUUUCCUGACACUCACAAACCCACAAACUGUUCCUCUUAAUGCAGAUAUUGUAGAAUCUACAAAGUUCAAAUCCAUUUUUGAUCCAAAGAAAGUAGAGGAGUAUUUGAGACAUGAGUGUACCCAGCCCUUUUUUUAAUCACAGGCAAUGCAUGGGUCUGGCUGGUUACACUUUGCCAAGAAGACUUGUCUUAUGAAACCCAAGGUAUAUUUUGUUAUGCCAUUUUAUGUCCUUUUCUUUUAACAUUGUGGAAAGUGGUAUGUUGAAUCAAGUGUAAGCUGAGUUUUCCAGACAACUGAAGUAGCUACAUCAUGAAUGUUAUUUUGUUAUUAAAGGGUUUUUACUCAGUGCUUUGUGCCAAUGGAUGUCCUUUUCCUUGGAGACACAUAACUACAAAAUUACCUCAGCUUGGCCUGGUUUUCUCUCCUGCCCUCUUGGGGAAACAUGGGCCUGGCCUGGGAAAAGGCAGGUCAUGGGCUGGAAGGUAGGUUUUGGUACUAGGAAGAAAUCUCUGUAUCUGUCAGCUUUAAAGAGAACUGGGCCAAAAAUCUCUAACCUCACUCUCUCUGGACUCCAACACUUCCCUGCAAUCCUUUGGUCUUGAGCAUGUGCCAGCAUGAAGGCAGACUCCAGUUCAUACAUGAAAGGCAAGAAAAAGAAAAUAGUAACCUUGAAUCUUCUGUGGGCCACCAGGCACUCACCUUUCCCCACCUUGCACACUAUCCAGUCAAGGCUAUUGCAGCCCAUCUGGUGGCUUUACAUGGGACAUUACCAAAGGCUUCUUCCUCCAUCCUGGGGUUGCAAAGGAUCCAGGUCCCCUCCAUCCAGUGGGGCUCUUCCACAUCAGAAGUCCCCCUCCCACCAUCCUCUGCAUCCUGUUUAGCUAUCCCAUCUAUACCUUUUGGAGAUGAUUAUUUAGAAAACAAAGAAAGGUAUGGAAUGGGGUUUCCUAUUGUUUGCUAGGUUAUAUUUUAGCAAUUCUCAAUUCUUUGAUCUGGAAAAAUACAAGAGGGAAAAGGAGACCCCACUAUCUCCCUGUGCUUUGCUCCCAUCUCAGGGGGCAGGGGCAGUGCACAUUGCCUAUGCUGUUGAUCUGUCUUGGGCGACAGGCUGAAUCACAGCUAUUGCCCCAGCCAAAAACAUGGCCCAUCAAUGCCUACUUUAUCUCUGCUUGAAAAUCCUAUUCAAAAAGUUGUAGAGUUUGAGGUUUUUAUCCCCCCAUAUCCUUUGCUUUGGUCCAGUUUGGCCUUUAGCAUAAGAGUCAGCUUUAUCUCUAGGAAAGUUUUUUCAGAUUAUGACAAGGAACCUGCCACCUGGGAAGAAAAGAGUCCGAAGACUAGCAAUCGGAUAGGUAGUCAUACCAUUAACAGAUACUUCCUUGAAGGUAGAAUAUUAUUUCCUUUCUUUACAGUUUUGUGUUACACAAGUCCAAGUGGUGCCAGCAAACUUCUUACCGUGAAAUGUUGUAAAACACCUGGCAUACUGAAAUUUCUGAAACAAAAACACAAGCUCCACAUUGAUAACUUGAUAAAUAACCACUAAAGUUUAGAUGCAGGGACUGAGAUGAUACAGGCAAAAUCUUGGUGUUGGUUUCUCUUUUAAUUCGUAUCUUCGAUCACCUAACCUUUCUCAAUCCAAGAGCAGUUCAGUCUUUUCUCCCCAAGUCUAGGAUGCCAAAGAGCAUCAUAGGAAAAGAUAAUUAGGGAUUGACCAGCAUUUCAAUUAGUUCUCUUCUUCAUCUUUGCAUUUCUCAAAAGUGUUCUCCUGGACCAGAGGGAAAGAGCUGGUCCAUUUUUUUUCAUUCUUUCUAUUCAAAUUUUUCCACCCAGACAAUACUUUAUUAACACAGAUACUGUAGAUCCUUCCUUGGUCAGUGAAUUAUUACAAGAGGAGCUAUCCUUCCACCAAAGUGAGUGAAAACAAGUUCCAGUAUCUUUUCUUCCAUCCAGUUUUGUUCUCAGAAUCCAAGUCAGUCCUGGGUCUUUUCUCACUUUAGACCCUGGCCUCAGAUGUGUUUAUUCUUGCUAUUUAAAAAUACCUUUAAAUUUCACAUGCUGGCCUGCAGAACUUGCAUCCUUUGUUCUAUACUGUUGACUGCUUGAUGGUAUUGAAAGGUGACUAUAAUGAGGGAAGAAAGGAGGAGGUAAAGAGAGAAGAAUUUGUCCCAGAUCUGUUUAAAGUUUCAAAAUUUAAAAAGGGACCCAUUAAAUUAUGGGAAAAUGGCUAUAGAGUGUGAGCCUCCGUUGACCAUAUGCUCAAAGACCGUACUCUGCCACCUGCCUUCCAGGUAGCUAUUCUAGAAACUCAGUCCUUUGUGGAAACCCAACUACCUUUUAAAAGUCUCUUUCCAGAUUCCAAAAGGACAAGAGAUCAGAGAGUCACAUAUACGCCUCUUGUUUUAUUUUCUUGCUUUCACGGGUAUUAUUGCCAAGAAAAUCGUAGGGAAAAACUUUAAACUUUUCUUUUCAGUUGAUCCCUUUGACAUCACCUCUCAUGUUUAAAAUCAGGAAAACACACCCCUAAAAUUUGCACUCUCUUCCGUUUUGAAAAAGAAAACCCACACACAAAUGCACACUAUUACCGUCUUUCACCCUGCGCUAUAUUUCCAAAGUGUAUUAUAAUCCAGAUAUUGCCCCAUCUCAAACAUGUUAAGUCAGACUGUGCUGAAAGACUUUCCAGGGACGGUCAACAGGGUAUAUGUUCAGUGGCUGCCCUGAAAUCCUGGUGGGGAUGAGGAUCACGCUUCAUCAUCAAGGGGAUGCCCAUCCCCUGAUAAGCUCCCAGUCCUUUUGGAAGAUUUCUUUGAAUGUUAAUUGCAUUUUCAGUUUUGCUCAUUUCCCACCCCAAUGUUUUGUCUGCAACAUCGCUUACACUGGAUUCUUUCUAUUUUUAUUCCUAUCAUUAAAUGGUAGUGCUGUAAAUUCUGCAAUUAAUGUUAAAUAAACUGCUUUAAUUCAUUG
Molecule: long non-coding RNA, 3587 nt
Filed under: Homo sapiens (human)
Lineage: Eukaryota; Metazoa; Chordata; Mammalia; Primates; Hominidae
Description: non-protein coding lnc-ONECUT2-2:7
Source: RNAcentral